UGGGGAAUUUUGGACAAUGGGCGAAAGCCUGAUCCAGCAAUGCCGCGUGUGUGAAGAAGGCCUUCGGGUUGUAAAGCACUUUUGUCCGGAAAGAAAUCCUUGGCUCUAAUACAGUCGGGGGAUGACGGUACCGGAAGAAUAAGCACCGGCUAACUACGUGCCAGCAGCCGCGGUAAUACGUAGGGUGCAAGCGUUAAUCGGAAUUACUGGGCGUAAAGCGUGCGCAGGCGGUUUGCUAAGACCGAUGUGAAAUCCCCGGGCUCAACCUGGGAACUGCAUUGGUGACUGGCAGGCUAGAGUAUGGCAGAGGGGGGUAGAAUUCCACGUGUAGCAGUGAAAUGCGUAGAGAUGUGGAGGAAUACCGAUGGCGAAGGCAGCCCCCUGGCCAAGUACUGACGCUCAUGCACGAAAGCGUGGGGAGCAAACAGGAUUAGAUACCCUGGUAGUCCACGCCCUAAAACGAUGUCAACUAGUUGUUGGGGGAUUCAUUUCCUUAGUAACGUAGCUAACGCGUGAAGUUGACCGCCUGGGGAGUACGGUCGCAAGAUUAAAACUCAAAUGAAUUGACGGGGUCAUAGCUGUUUCCU
Molecule: ribosomal RNA, 587 nt
Filed under: uncultured bacterium
Lineage: Bacteria
Description: partial 16S ribosomal RNA
Rfam family: Bacterial small subunit ribosomal RNA
Source: RNAcentral